RNAcentral lists this ribosomal RNA (595 nucleotides) under uncultured Amanita. Its description in RNAcentral is "eukaryotic LSU rRNA". The stretch from base 220 to 373 matches the Rfam family "5.8S ribosomal RNA". Lineage: Eukaryota; Fungi; Basidiomycota; Agaricomycetes; Agaricales; Amanitaceae. The record is from RNAcentral.
UCCGUAGGUGAACCUGCGGAAGGAUCAUUAUUGAAUGAAACUUCUGGCUGGGUGCUGUUGUGCUGGUCCUUUGGGGCAAUGUGCACGCCUCUGGCUGUUUGUUUCUUCUGUUCCACCUGUGCACUGUCUGUAGACACACUGUGUCUAUGAUAUAUGGUUACACACACGCAUGAUGUUUCGCAUAUUGGUUGGCAUAUUACAUAUGUAUAUGAUAUAUACAACUUUCAACAACGGAUCUCUUGGCUCUCGCAUCGAUGAAGAACACAGCGAAAUGUGAUAAGUAAUGUGAAUUGCAGAAUCCAGUGAAUCAUCGAAUCUUUGAACGCAUCUUGCGCUCCUUGGCAUUCCGAGGAGCAUGCCUGUUUGAGUGUCAUUAAACUAUCAAAUCACCUCUCUUGAGGUGCUUUGGACUUUGGGAGUAUUUUGCUGGUCCGUUUGAGCCAGCUCUCCUCAAAAGCAUUAGCUAUGGAGACCAUCAGUGUGAUAACUUUGUUUACACUGACUGAGUGUGUCUCUGCUUAUUAAAAUAUGCCCCCUUUGACCUCAAAUCAGGUAGGACUACCCGCUGAACUUAAGCAUAUCAAUAAGCGGAGGA